Molecule: long non-coding RNA, 1218 nt
Filed under: Homo sapiens (human)
Lineage: Eukaryota; Metazoa; Chordata; Mammalia; Primates; Hominidae
Description: HSALNT0329597
Source: RNAcentral
CGAGGGUCCUGCCACGCUCACUGGGUCGUUCUCUUCCACACUCACAUGAAGCUUUUCUUUACCUCAUGGCCUCUGCUCUCUUCCCUGUUUCCCCUCUACCUGGGCACCCCUCUAAGUGGCAGUGCUGGUGUUAGCCACCCUUCUGCUUUGUCACAGUCAUGCCCUCUCCUCUUUCAAAAGGCCACCUGAGUAGUGGGUAUGCUUGGGUGGGUCACACUGGAAUAGAGCAUGGUGUGGGGUGCGUCUGGGCACUGGCUUCUCAAGGGUUUGAGGACUGAAGUAUGGACUCAGGCACGGCUGGGACUCGACCUUCACGGCCCUGGCUGUUCAGCUCACGUGACACAAAAAGAGACGUCAAGGGUCUCCUGCCCAGGAGGAAUCAAGAUGGACUUUUCUGCCCCUUCCCCUCAUGGUCCAGUCAUGCCUGACUGGCCAGCAAGCCACCCCCGGACAGGCCCAGCCUCCCUCCCUCCAGGCCUUGCAUGGUUGGCCUCCUCUACCUGAAAUGUCCCCCUAUCAACCCCUAAACUGUCCCCUGGGGACAGCUUCAAUUUCUUUUUUUUUCUAGAAAGCCUUCCCUGAACAGCUCUCCCCUCCCCUUUCUUGGGGGGGGUGGCAAUCAGAGUCCAAAUUCUGCACUUGACUUUCAACAUUAACUGCCCUAUAAAGCUGAUUCUUCCUCCAGCAUGCAGUGUGAUGCCCACCAAGAAGAUGGGCCCUGAUGCACCAACACUGGGAUCCUUGGGACAGGAAGAGUUUUGCCUUCUGAAUUAUUAUACCCACCACACCCAUGAGGGGUGCUUCUUAAUUAUUUGGAAUGAACUAAUGGAUCCCAAGCUAUGUGGUUUGCAUUGAGGGAGCAGAGGGACCUCUACUUGACAGUGGGAGAUAUUUAUAACCAUUCCAAAUAUCUGGCUUGGCAGAGAUAGGCAACCCAUAGCUUACCCUGCUCUGUGAAUUCAUGAGCAUGUGAAUUACUACCGGGACUUACUGUAACUCUAGAUCCCAGAUUGAACAUAGACCAAAUAGGCACAAGGUGAAGAGCUCCAAACCAUAACCACGGGACAGCAGCCCUCAUCAUUUUGAGGCCCUGGAACUGUCCCUGACCCUUGCCGCAUCCUCCCCAGCAAAGCUGGGCUGUCCAGCUCGGGGAGGAGGCAAGGGUGGGGUGGGGAAUGAGCACAGCCAGCCCUGAACAGUCCUCAUCACUCAACAAAC